UUUCAUCCCAUCGUAGCAGUGUAGGUAAACGGCACGCCGUCCACUUUUCCGACAGCAACAUGUUUUCCAGCACUCCUCUUUUGCGAGUGAUGCAUCGGCACACUACCUAGUGGUGGGACUGUAUUGGGGGAGAGGGAGCAGAAACAGAGGUGGGGUUAUAGGUUGAAACAAAAUGUCGUUUCAUCAUCAUCAGUAGUGGAAAUGUAAUUUUCGACUACCGGGCGGAUUUUCCAGCAUGGGUAGAAAGUUUUCAUGGACCUCAAAAACGAGACGCUAGCCAAAUCGCUGUCGUGGAUUGUUUUCCAAUCACAGCGCAGAGGCCGGACCCGGUGGGGAUAGUCCGGCUACCAGCGACAGGAUCAACAACGUUCGGCGGGCGAAAUGGCGACUCUAGCCAGCCUUACAGAAGCAAUCGCUUCGGGCACCGGGGUGAUGGGAAACAGCCCGACCGACAAGAAAAAAGUAUAGCAAACUAAAAAUCACCACCACCCUGCAAAACGAUUCUACUGCUUCUGCGCAUCGGUGCAUCCGGAAGUUAUCGCUCACUCGAACGCCGGCCAGUGCGCCGGAAGUCCGAUUAAUGCUUCCGCUUCGUUCGGUUGGCUGGAUGCCUGGCGGAUGCUCAGUAGGACUUGUCUGCUUUGUAAUGGGUUUUUAUUUGCAGUUUGUGUUUUUUCCCUCCUGUUCAUCUCCUUAGGGCGGGCGCGAUUGCAUCUCGCCCGUUCGUCCAUGAAAUUGCUCGGUUUAUAUUAGGCCACACAGAUGGAAGUAGUUCCAUGCUGGACGAAGAAAUAUCUUAGCACCAGCCAAAGGAAUAGUUUCAUGUGAACUAGACAGGUUCAUGGAAAUGCAAGAAACUACACUUUAAAAAGAGUAGUUGGCAGGCGCCAAGCAACCCUUCUUGUGCACAACAUUUGUACUGGUUUACAGCUUUAUUUUACGGUUCAUUUAUCUUGAUUUUUUGUUUUUUAGCUCAUGUUUUACUGUAUGAAUAAUCAAUCGGUAAUUGUUUCUUUCCUGCAAGCCUCCUGUUAGGAUAGAAUGCGUUAAAUGCACCGAACUCUACAACCACACAGUAGCAGCCGCCCGGAAGCUGGCUUGAUGGAAAUGGAAGGGAAAAAGUUCCUUCAAUGACGUACGCCAAAACAGCGUAACGCCACGUCGGAAACGUCACCGUAGCUUGAUGCCGGAUGUGAGGGAAAAAUCACAUAAAAUCCCUUAGGCUAGUGUUUACUACAAACGGACAUCGAAAUGCGUCUGCAUCCGAUCGAUCGAAUGAUUCGUUUCCGGAUAGACGGACACAGCCGAUAUUGAUGUAAUGUAAAGUACCACACAUAUACUACUUUCAGGAGAGAAUAUUGAACCACGAUUCCGGCAUUGUUGCCUAGCAUUAACAUUAAUAUGCUAGUUCUAAUUGAUGAAAAGCGUUCAAUAAACUUGAAAAUAUCAAUUAUUCUGUUUUUUUUCACCUAAUUCUAAUGGCUAAUAUAACAGUAAGUAGUAAA
This is a long non-coding RNA of Anopheles merus, 1505 nucleotides long. RefSeq lists it as uncharacterized. NCBI's taxonomy places the organism in Eukaryota, Metazoa, Arthropoda, Insecta, Diptera, Culicidae. The transcript has 3 exons. The record is from RefSeq and is a predicted model, not a curated record.